RNAcentral lists this ribosomal RNA (648 nucleotides) under Branchiostoma lanceolatum (amphioxus). RNAcentral's name for it is "partial large subunit ribosomal RNA". It matches the Rfam family "Archaeal large subunit ribosomal RNA", at positions 1934 to 2987 of the family's 2987-position model. Lineage: Eukaryota; Metazoa; Chordata; Leptocardii; Amphioxiformes; Branchiostomatidae. The record is from RNAcentral.
AGUAUUAGAGGUCUGGCCUGCCCAGUGUAAAAAAUUAACGGCCGCGGUAUCCUGACUGUGCAAAGGUAGCAUAAUCACUUGCCCUUUAAAUGGGGGAAUGUAUGAAUGAUUAGACGAGGUUUUGACUGUCUUUUUUCUAAAAACUGAGAUUUCAGUACCUGUGAAAAUGCGGGUGAAAUCAUAAUGGACGAGAAGACCCUGUUGAGCUUUUAAGUUAUACAGCAGUAUGAAUUAAAUUAGAUAAUUCAUUAUUUAUAAAAUACACAUAUCUGGUAAGCUUUUUGGCUGGGGUGGCAAGCAAAGGAAUUAAGCUUUGUUUAUCAAUUGAAAUCUUAAUGUUUGGAGACAGUAUAUGUCAAUAAACUUAAUUUGGAUCCGCUAACUGAGCGAUUAAUAGAAUAAGUUACCACAGGGAUAACAGCGUUAUUCUUCUUGAGAGCUCGUAUUGACAGAGGAGUUUGCGACCUCGAUGUUGGAUCAAGAUUCCUGGUGGUGUAGCAGCUAUUAAGGGUUUGCCUGUUCGGCGAUUAAAAUCUUACGUGAUCUGAGUUCAGACCGUCGUAAGACAGGUUAGAUUCUAUCCUUAAAUUUAUGCGUUUAGUACGAAAGGACCAACAGCAUGUGAUUUUAAGUUUUUAUUAAAUCAUA